Molecule: RNA transcript, 2098 nt
Organism: Tachysurus vachellii
Lineage: Eukaryota; Metazoa; Chordata; Actinopteri; Siluriformes; Bagridae
Gene: cradd
Gene name: CASP2 and RIPK1 domain containing adaptor with death domain
Exons: 3
Source: RefSeq, a predicted model, not a curated record
UGCGCAGUGGCAGACAAACUGAAUUCACCAGACUACCUGCUUAAAUAUAUGAACGAUAAAUAAUCACAGCCUAAAUUAAGCUCGAUUAUAUUUUGAUGUCUUGUGUUAAUCAUAGCCACACACAUGCUGUGUUCGUACUUACUCCUUACUCACACAUAACCAGGCGGCUGUAACGACACUACGAUUAGCCUGGAAGCUAAUAACUUAUUUACUUUCAUUAUCAGCUGUUAACUGUUUCUGUGCUCAUUUAAAAGAUGGAGCCAAAGCACCGAAAACUUCUCCGAGCGCAGAGGCUGCAUCUCUGUCAUCAACUCGUUGUGGAUGAUACGAUAGUCCAUUUCUUAUACCAAAAGGACAUUUUAACCGACAGUCAAUUGGAAGACAUUCUUUCACAGAAGUCGAACAAAAACAAGACGUUAAAGCUGCUCAGUAUUCUUCCAAACCGCGGCCCAAAUGCUUUUAAUGAGUUUGUUCAGUCCCUAGAAGAAGGUUUUCCCUGGAUUAAAGAGGAACUGCUUCGUCUAGCUGAGGACAAUAAUGAUGAUGAUGAUGAUGGAGGAAGAGGGACAGAGGAAGCCGAAAUCACCGCUCAAUGGGCCAUUAAUAAACAUAUCCUCCAAAUGGUUCCAUCUGAUCAGCAGCUAAAUCGGCUGGCAGUUCAGCUCGGCUCCGAGUCAGAGAUGGUGCUGUUAGACUUGGGCUUGACCUCAGUAGAGAUCUCCCGCUGUCGUGCCGAUCAUCCACACAACCGUCACAGUCAGGUGUUGGCAGCUCUGGUAAUGUGGAAGCAGACUCACGGACGGAGAGCCACGGUGCAACGUCUACUCCAGAGCCUACAGAAUUCAGAAAUCCAUCCUUCUUCCCUCAACCAAGUAUUUGCCUGAGGCUACUAGGAGAAUGUGAAAACUAGUUGUGCCACUAAGAUUAAACAUCUGGGUCGCCACAGCGAAUCAUCUCUCUCCAUCAACAUUCUCAGAGCAAAAAUUGCAUCUGUUGUGCUCUUUCUCGGCAUGAAGCCAUACUGCUGCUCACAAAUUUCCACCACCUUCCUUAACCUAGCUUCCACUACUCUUUCCCACAACUUCCCACUGAUGAAUAUUCAAAGCAAUCACUGGAACACAGGGCAAGAAAUCACAUACAUUUUUAGACAGUUUUAUAAAUCAGAGGGGAAAAAGAGUAGAAGGGGUGAACUCUGUGGAACAGGAAGUAGAUAAGAUUAGAAAGGAUGACUCUGUUAAUAAUUUUGAUCAAUGCUACCUUUUUUCCUUUUGAGCCACUGAUGAAUAUUCAAAGCAAUCACUGGAACACAGGGCAAGAAAUCACAUACAUUUUUAGACAGUUAUAUAUAUACGUAUAUAUAUAUAUAUAUAUAUAUAUAUACUGUAUAUAGAAUGUUAUUUUGUGUAUUGAUUAACAGGCUGUUCUCCUUAAAGUCCUCAUGUUGUUGGCAAUUAAUCUAAUAUAAUCUUAAUGUACUGUGUUAGAAUCAUAGAUCCUGAUAACCACAGUUUACAAUAUGUGCAUUUACUGCAGUAAUGGAGAACAAAUAAGGCAUUAAAAGUACUUGAAACAGAUUACUUGCAAUGCUCUAUCUUUUGAAUUGGUUAACGCUCAUGUUGUGGUUUUGAUGUGUGAGUGUAACCAUUUCCAGUAAUCUCCUCUAUAUUUACUAUAUACACUUCUUGCCCAAUAGAAUUCAAGAAGUACAACUUUUUUCUAGCUGUGUUCUUCUAACCUAAAUCAUAGAUAGAAUGUUUUACUGUAUUGUAUGCUUUUCUUUUUUAACUGACAAACAAAGAGUUUUGAACAAGUUUCUUAGUUGUCAAUUAAUAAAUAAACCUGAUAUGUGUGUAUGUGGUAAUUAUUCUUAUUGAGAAGUUCAAAACAAAAUAACAAAUCAAAAAACAAAUGAAUAAAUUCGAAAACAAAACAAUAAAUCAGAAAACACAACGACAAUUUAGACAAAUCCAAAGUGGGAAAUAUAAUUUGCAAGAUAAUACAGGAUGUACAGCAGUCAGCUCUCCUCUUGUAACAUUACUUACAUUAUUUAGUCUGGAGUAUUUUUUGUCUUCAAAACAUACAUGCGUUCUUCAGGUGU